CAGUAGCCGCGGUAAUACGUAGGUGGCAAGCGUUGUCCGGAAUUAUUGGGCGUAAAGCGCGCGCAGGUGGUUUAAUAAGUCUGAUGUGAAAGCCCACGGCUCAACCGUGGAGGGUCAUUGGAAACUGUUAAACUUGAGUGCAGGAGAGAAAAGUGGAAUUCCUAGUGUAGCGGUGAAAUGCGUAGAGAUUAGGAGGAACACCAGUGGCGAAGGCGACUCUCUGGUCUGUAACUGACGCUGAGGAGCGAAAGCGUGGGGAGCGAACAGGAUUAGAUACCCCCGUAGUCCCUGUCUCUUAUAC
Molecule: ribosomal RNA, 301 nt
Filed under: uncultured bacterium
Lineage: Bacteria
Description: partial 16S ribosomal RNA
Rfam family: Bacterial small subunit ribosomal RNA
Source: RNAcentral